Molecule: ribosomal RNA, 497 nt
Filed under: uncultured bacterium
Lineage: Bacteria
Description: partial 16S ribosomal RNA
Rfam family: Bacterial small subunit ribosomal RNA
Source: RNAcentral
GAUGAACGCUGGCGGCGUGCCUAAUACAUGCAAGUCGAGCGAACAGAUAAGGAGCUUGCUCCUUUGACGUUAGCGGCGGACGGGUGAGUAACACGUGGAUAACCUACCUAUAAGACUGGGAUAACUUCGGGAAACCGGAGCUAAUACCGGAUAACAUAUUGAACCGCAUGGUUCAAUAGUGAAAGGCGGCUUUGCUGUCACUUAUAGAUGGAUCCGCGCCGUAUUAGCUAGUUGGUAAGGUAACGGCUUACCAAGGCAACGAUACGUAGCCGACCUGAGAGGGUGAUCGGCCACACUGGAACUGAGACAGGGUCCAGACUCCUACGAGAGGCAGCAGUAGGGAAUCUUCCGCAAUGGGCGAAAGCCUGACGGAGCAACGCCGCGUGAGUUAUGAAGGUCUUCGGAUCGUAAAACUCUGUUAUCAGGGAAGAACAAAUGUGUAAGUAACUGUGCACAUCUUGACGGUACCUGAUCAGAAAGCCACGGCUAACUACGUG